GGGAUGCCCCAGUAACGGCGAGUGAAGCGGCAACAGCUCAAAUUUGAAAUCUGGCUCUCGGGCCCGAGUUGUAAUUUGUAGAGGAUGCUUUUGGUGAGGUGCCUUCCGAGUUCCCUGGAACGGGACGCCAUAGAGGGUGAGAGCCCCGUCUGGUUGGACGCCGAACCUCUGUAAAGCUCCUUCGACGAGUCGAGUAGUUUGGGAAUGCUGCUCUAAAUGGGAGGUAUAUGUCUUCUAAAGCUAAAUACCGGCCAGAGACCGAUAGCGCACAAGUAGAGUGAUCGAAAGAUGAAAAGAACUUUGAAAAGAGAGUUAAACAGUACGUGAAAUUGUUGAAAGGGAAGCGCUUGUGACCAGACUUGGGCUUGGUUGAUCAUCCGGGGUUCUCCCCGGUGCACUCUUCCGGCCCAGGCCAGCAUCAGUUCGCCCUGGGGGACAAAGGCUUCGGGAACGUGGCUCUCUCCGGGGAGUGUUAUAGCCCGUUGCGUAAUACCCUGUGGCGGACUGAGGUUCGCGCAUUCGCAAGGAUGCUGGCGUAAUGGUCAUCAGUGACCCGUCUUGAAACACGGACCAAGGAGUCGUCUUCGUAUGCGAGUGUUCGGGUGUCAAACCCCUACGCGAAAUGAAAGUGAACGCAGGUGAGAGCUUCGGCGCAUCAUCGACCGAUCCUGAUGUUAUCGGAUGGAUUUGAGUAAGAGCAUACGGGGCCGGACCCGAAAGAAGGUGAACUAUGCCUGUGUAGGGUGAAGCCAGAGGAAACUCUGGUGGAGGCUCGCAGCGGUUCUGACGUGCAAAUCGAUCGUCAAACAUGGGCAUGGGGG
This 821-nucleotide ribosomal RNA is filed under the name Fusarium petroliphilum. RNAcentral's name for it is "eukaryotic LSU rRNA". It matches the Rfam family "Eukaryotic large subunit ribosomal RNA", at positions 72 to 923 of the family's 3401-position model. The record is from RNAcentral. Lineage: Eukaryota; Fungi; Ascomycota; Sordariomycetes; Hypocreales; Nectriaceae.